RNAcentral lists this RNase P RNA (328 nucleotides) under marine eukaryotic metagenome. Its description in RNAcentral is "Bacterial RNase P class A". It matches the Rfam family "Bacterial RNase P class A". Rfam says of the family: Ribonuclease P (RNase P) is a ubiquitous endoribonuclease, found in archaea, bacteria and eukarya as well as chloroplasts and mitochondria. The record is from RNAcentral.
UAUAGAAGAGGAAAGUCCGGACAUCGUAGAACAUUAUACUAGCUAACGGCUAGGAGUUGCUUGCAACGACAGCUAGUGCAGCAGAAAACAACCGCCUUCGGGUAAGGGUGAAAAGGUGAGGUAAGAGCUCACCAGUAUUUUUAGUAAUAAAAAUAGCUGUGUAAACCUUAUAAGAUGCAAGGUCAUGUAAACCGAGACUUCCUUAGGGAAUAAGAAUUGUUCGUUCGAUUUCGGAGGGUAGACCGCUAAAGAUGCUUAGUGAUAAGUAUCGUAGAUAAAUGAUAGAGGUUCACUUGUGGAUAACAGAAUCCGGCUUAUGACGGAGCUU